UUGGUAGGUACGUACCAAAUUUAAAUUUAAAGCCCACUUUAACUUUAUUAUGAAAUCUGUCGUUAAUGCUGUAUCUAUAGUUAGGCUAAUAAGUAAAUUUUGAAUUUCAUUUAUAUAGUAAAUAUGUAUAAUCGACAUAUUUUGACAAAAUAUUUUGUCGAUAUAUUUUGACAAAAAAAAAAUCUAAGCAAUUUAAUUAAUUCAAAAUACAUUUUACUGCUGUCAGAAAAAAUGUUUAUUUCACAAAAUAAACGUGGCUUUUCGCUUAAAUCCCAGGUUCAAACUGCUAAGAGACAUGUGGUUGGCAGCUUUAACAUUGAAUUUAAGCGAAAACAAUAUUUAUUUGUCAAAUAAACAUUUAUUUCUGUUUCCUGACAGAACUAAAAUGUAUUUUGAAUUAAAUGAAUUACAUUCAUUCUUUUUGUCACAAUUAAUUUAAUCCAAAAUAUUUUUUUGGACACCCUGUAUACCUAAAUAAUUAUGUUAAAGUUUAUAUUAUUGAAUAGCGAAUUAAAUAACCUUUCAAAUGAGCUAUCACACAACGCAAUACUCUCAUUUAAAAAAAUCAUCGAUUAGGUCAUCACGCCCAGGCGGAUGACGUCACUAGUAUGAUAUAUAUGCCAAAAAGUCAUAAUUUAAAAAUAAAAAUCGACCUGUCUCAGGAUUUCUUUCCAAAUUCGCCCAUUCUCGAGAUAAUGAAUUUAUUUCAACUCAAACGUCCUCACUGUAUAUUAGGUUAAGUAUAUUUUGAAUUUUACAACAAUAAUUUUACACCAGUAUUUUGAAUUUCUCUAUAAAAUAAUUAACCAUAGGAAAGUUAUAAAUUAUAGUAAAAUAACCAUCAUAAAAGUUAUAUCAUUACCACAUUAAAGAACAGUCCAAAGGAAAAUAGAAAUAUUCCACAUAAUAAAAAUUGUCUUAAACGAAAGUGAUUGUUUUCAGUUAAUAAGAGAAAACCUAAAAGGGAAAAUUAUUGUUUAAACAAACCUUUUGGUAGAGAAAUUCAAAAUACUGGUGUAAAAUUGCUAAGUCCCCAAUAACUAUAUAAUAACCUAUAACAUAGGUAUCGUAUACAUAAUAUACAUAACGAUGUUUUUUUAUUUAAAAUAUUUCUAAUACUAUAUAAUUCGAUUAAUAAAUAUAUUUUGAAUUUCAUUUAUAUAGAUAAUCGACCAAGCGAAGUGAGGUCUUUCAUUUAUUACUAUGUUAAACUUAAAAUAUGUAUUAAGUGUAUAAUAUAUGUUUUUCAAAUUGGCCGCCAAACUCAGAGACUGACUGUCAAUUGUCUAGAAGCUCGCCAGCAUAGUAUUAGUUUUCUCUAGACGCAAGUACACAAACCUACCUUUGAAAAGUUAUUUUAUUUUUAAAACUUUGUGUGACUUCAGUGACUUGUGAAGUUCCAACUAUAAAGUUUCUUGGUUUUGUUUUUCUUCCUUAUUUUAUUAUAUUCUAACACGAAAUAAAAUGAGUAAUAUCGAGAGAAGUUUUAUAUGUUGUAUUUGUAAAGGACCAUCCUUCUCAAAACAGUCAAAUCUUAGGGCCCACGUAAAAAAGUUCCAUCCAGACAAACUGGAGGAAUUGGCACCAAAAAAUGUUAAAAACGUAGCAGCUAUAUGCAAUGAAUGCAAUCAGACUUUCUCAAAAUACUCCAAUUUGAAAGAGCAUGUCCGGACAUUUCAUCCAGAAAAAAUGGAAGUCUUAAUCAAAGAUAAGUUUUAUCUUUACAAAUGCAGUGAAUGUUCCAAGCAAUUUUCGGGUUUAGCAAAUUUCAACGCUCAUAAGAAAAUACAUACAACUCCGAAAAUUGUUUCCCACCGUAAGCCCAAACAAUUGAAGUGUCCUUUAUGUAAAUAUGAAGAUAUCAAAUCGAAGUUAAUACACCAUUUUGGAGAAAAGCAUGAAGUUGUUGUUAAAGCUGAAAAUAUGCAAUUUAAUUCAUUAGAAGAAUUUCAUUUUUGGAAAUUGGAAGAGGAAAAAACAACUAGAUCAUUUUUUGUAAAGAAUCGUAGUUCCAGUAAUGUUUCAAAUGGCACUAAAACAAUAUAUAAUUGUCAUAGGUCAGGAAAAUACAUUGCUAAAGGAAACAAUAAAAGACAUUUAAAAUACAAAGGCUCUAACAAAAUAAAUGCUUUCUGUCCAGCCAAUAUUACAGUCAUUCAAGAAGCAAAUAUCUGCAAGGUAGAUUAUGUUAAGAUGCAUAUUGGACAUCAGAAUAACUUAGGUCAUUUAUUUUUAAGUCAGGAAAAAAAGCGGGAAUUAGCUAGUAAAAUAGCUGCAAAGAUUCCAUUAGCUGCCAUUUUAGAUGAAAUUAGAGAUUCUAUGACAAGUGCAAAUUUUUCAAGGAUUCAUCUUCUAACUAAAAAAGAUUUGCAUAAUAUUGAACAAACAUACAAUCUAAAUGCAACACCUGUCAGACAUAGGAAUGAUGCCAUAAGUGUCCAAGCAUGGGUAAAUGAACUACAAAAAAGUAAUAGUGUACUUUUCUAUAAACCGCAAGAUGAUUUAUCAGAAGAGCACUCAUGUUUAAAAAGAGAAGAUUUUGUUUUAAUUCUAAUGACCGAAGGUCAAAAGGAGAUGCUUGACAAAUUUGGGGGUGAUUGCAUUUGUGUAGACGGAACACACGGAAUAACUAGUUACGGAUUUGAAUUGGUAACAUUAUUGGUUCUUGAUGAUAUGCGAGAGGGAUUUCCAUGUGCAUUUAUGAUAUCCAAUAGAACAGAUGAAGACGUUAUGUGCAUAUUAUUUUCUUGUAUUAGAAAAAGUUUGCAAUCAAAAAUUUCGCCCAAAGUAUUCAUGUCGGAUAUGGCAGAAUCAUUUUUUAAUGCAUGGAUAAAAAUUAUGAGUCCUCCAGAAUACAGGCUAUAUUGUUGUUGGCAUGUAGACCGCGCAUGGAGGAAGAAUCUUUCGAAGAUUUCUGCUAAGGAUAUGCAAGUAGUGGUCUACCAACAAUUGCGUACCUUGCUUCAAGAAACGGAUGUAAAAGCAUUUUCACUUAUGUUGGAGACAUUUUUAAAAAGCCUCUACGAAAAUGAGGCUACCUUGGAGUUUGCAAAUUAUUUUAAAAUCCAUUAUGCUAAUAAAGUUGAUAGUUGGGCUUAUAGUUAUCGUCUAAAUAGCGGUUUGAACACGAACAUGCAUUUAGAACGUAUGCAUCAUACCAUAAAGUAUAUCUAUCUAAAAGGCAAACAUAACAAGAGACUAGAUAGGGCUAUUUCUGCUCUAUUGAAGUUUGUAAGAGAUAAACUGUUUGAUCAAUUAAUAACAAUUCAUAAAGGUAAACUGUGUACUAAAUUGAGAGAACUAAGGUCGAGGCAUAAGUCAAGCCAAGAACUUGAUCACAACUUAGUGAUAAAAAUGGAUACUGUUUGGCAAGUUCCUUCAUCCACAACUCAGGAAAUAUAUUUGGUAGAGCAAAGGAAAGUUGAUUGUGCUUGUAAAAUCGUUUGCUUGGAAUGUGAUGCUUGCUUUCACCAAUAUUCGUGUACAUGUAUAGAUUCAAGCGUCAGAUAUAAUAUGUGUAAACAUAUACAUUUAGUAUGCCGAUAUGAACAACACCUACCGGGUGAAAAAAAUGCAGAAUCACUUAUAACAGAAACGGACUCGGAUCAAGAUGGCAAUGCCCUAAUAAUUCAAGAAUGUACUUCUGAAAAUAAAAUACAGGAUUUAGUUAAGGUAUUAAGUUCUAAGGAAACUGAAGAUGGUGAUAAUGAUGCCAAGUUAGACAAAGAAAAAUUAAAUUUAAAAAACUGGAUAUGGGAUCAAAUUGAUAAAAUCUCCUCAAUGACAGAGCUAAAUGAAAUCAAACGUUUAACCGCUCCAAUUGAAGCUGUGCUAAACGCAGUUAAGGAAGGAAGCACAUCAAUAAAAAUACCAGAAGAAAAUAUAAAGAUUCCGCACAAUAAAAAUAUUGUUAAACAAAGGAGAUUGUUUUCGGUUAAGAAAAAAUCUAAAAGGGAAAAUCAGCGUGUUAACAAACCUUCUAUUAGUGAUAUUCAAAAUACCGCUGUAAAAUUGUUACAUCCUUAAUAAAUUUGUAAUAUAACUAUUACACAUAUCGAAUUUUUUUAUUUAAAAUUUUGCUAUUACGCUCGGUUUCAUAAUAAAGUUAAAGUGGACUUAAAAUUUUAAGUUGGUAGGUACGUACCAAAUUUAAAUUUAAAGCCCACUUUAACUUUAUUAUGAAAUCUGUCGUUAAUGCUGUAUCUAUAGUUAGGCUAAUAAGUAAAUUUUGAAUUUCAUUUAUAUAGUAAAUAUGUAUAAUCGACAUAUUUUGACAAAAUAUUUUGUCGAUAUAUUUUGACAAAAAAAAAAUCUAAGCAAUUUAAUUAAUUCAAAAUACAUUUUACUGCUGUCAGAAAAAAUGUUUAUUUCACAAAAUAAACGUGGCUUUUCGCUUAAAUCCCAGGUUCAAACUGCUAAGAGACAUGUGGUUGGCAGCUUUAACAUUGAAUUUAAGCGAAAACAAUAUUUAUUUGUCAAAUAAACAUUUAUUUCUGUUUCCUGACAGAACUAAAAUGUAUUUUGAAUUAAAUGAAUUACAUUCAUUCUUUUUGUCACAAUUAAUUUAAUCCAAAAUAUUUUUUUGGACACCCUGUAUACCUAAAUAAUUAUGUUAAAGUUUAUAUUAUUGAAUAGCGAAUUAAAUAACCUUUCAAAUGAGCUAUCACACAACGCAAUACUCUCAUUUAAAAAAAUCAUCGAUUAGGUCAUCACGCCCAGGCGGAUGACGUCACUAGUAUGAUAUAUAUGCCAAAAAGUCAUAAUUUAAAAAUAAAAAUCGACCUGUCUCAGGAUUUCUUUCCAAAUUCGCCCAUUCUCGAGAUAAUGAAUUUAUUUCAACUCAAACGUCCUCACUGUAUAUUAGGUUAAGUAUAUUUUGAAUUUUACAACAAUAAUUUUACACCAGUAUUUUGAAUUUCUCUAUAAAAUAAUUAACCAUAGGAAAGUUAUAAAUUAUAGUAAAAUAACCAUCAUAAAAGUUAUAUCAUUACCACAUUAAAGAACAGUCCAAAGGAAAAUAGAAAUAUUCCACAUAAUAAAAAUUGUCUUAAACGAAAGUGAUUGUUUUCAGUUAAUAAGAGAAAACCUAAAAGGGAAAAUUAUUGUUUAAACAAACCUUUUGGUAGAGAAAUUCAAAAUACUGGUGUAAAAUUGCUAAGUCCCCAAUAACUAUAUAAUAACCUAUAACAUAGGUAUCGUAUACAUAAUAUACAUAACGAUGUUUUUUUAUUUAAAAUAUUUCUAAUACUAUAUAAUUCGAUUAAUAAAUAUAUUUUGAAUUUCAUUUAUAUAGAUAAUCGACCAAGCGAAGUGAGGUCUUUCAUUUAUUACUAUGUUAAACUUAAAAUAUGUAUUAAGUGUAUAAUAUAUGUUUUUCAAAUUGGCCGCCAAACUCAGAGACUGACUGUCAAUUGUCUAGAAGCUCGCCAGCAUAGUAUUAGUUUUCUCUAGACGCAAGUACACAAACCUACCUUUGAAAAGUUAUUUUAUUUUUAAAACUUUGUGUGACUUCAGUGACUUGUGAAGUUCCAACUAUAAAGUUUCUUGGUUUUGUUUUUCUUCCUUAUUUUAUUAUAUUCUAACACGAAAUAAAAUGAGUAAUAUCGAGAGAAGUUUUAUAUGUUGUAUUUGUAAAGGACCAUCCUUCUCAAAACAGUCAAAUCUUAGGGCCCACGUAAAAAAGUUCCAUCCAGACAAACUGGAGGAAUUGGCACCAAAAAAUGUUAAAAACGUAGCAGCUAUAUGCAAUGAAUGCAAUCAGACUUUCUCAAAAUACUCCAAUUUGAAAGAGCAUGUCCGGACAUUUCAUCCAG
This 5813-nucleotide unclassified non-coding RNA is filed under the name Diabrotica virgifera virgifera (western corn rootworm). RNAcentral describes it as "uncharacterized LOC126881072". The record is from RNAcentral. Lineage: Eukaryota; Metazoa; Arthropoda; Insecta; Coleoptera; Chrysomelidae.